This 465-nucleotide ribosomal RNA is filed under the name uncultured bacterium. RNAcentral's name for it is "partial 16S ribosomal RNA". It matches the Rfam family "Bacterial small subunit ribosomal RNA", at positions 338 to 795 of the family's 1533-position model. The record is from RNAcentral.
CCUACGGUGGGCAGCAGUGGGGAAUAUUGCGCAAUGGGCGAAAGCCUGACGCAGCGACGCCGCGUGAGGGAUGAAGGUCUUCGGAUCGUAAACCUCUGUCAGCAGGGAAGAACGGUCACUGUGCUAAUCAGCAGGGAAUUGACGGUACCUGCAAAGGAAGCACCGGCUAACGCCGUGCCAGCAGCCGCGGUAAUACGGAGGGUGCGAGCGUUAAUCGGAAUGACUGGGCGUAAAGCGCUCGUAGGCGGUAUGUCAAGUCAAGGGUGAAAUCCCCGCGCUCAACGUGGGAACUGCAUGUGAAACUGGCAAACUGGAGUGUGUGAGAGGAUAGUGGAAUUCCAGGUGUAGGAGUGAAAUCCGUAGAUAUCUGGAGGAACAUCAGUGGCGAAGGCGACUAUCUGGCACAUAACUGACGCUGAGGAGCGAAAGCGUGGGUAGCAAACAGGAUUAGAUACCCCAGUAGUC